Molecule: unclassified non-coding RNA, 199 nt
Filed under: uncultured fungus
Lineage: Eukaryota; Fungi
Description: sequence contains ITS1
Source: RNAcentral
GUAUUUGAUUGCGUUUUAAGGCAACAUGAACAUUCUAUGACACAUUCAGAGUAUAUGAUACAUAAGCCCGAAGGCCUACGGUGGGUUCACAGGUGUGUUGUGGAUUUAAGAGCUCGGGCGUGCACAUGCCCCGAAAGGCCAGCUACAACCCUCGCCGGUAAUUUCAAUAAUGAUCCUUCCGCAGGUUCACCUACGGAAA